This 730-nucleotide ribosomal RNA is filed under the name uncultured bacterium. RNAcentral's name for it is "bacterial SSU rRNA". It matches the Rfam family "Bacterial small subunit ribosomal RNA", at positions 771 to 1501 of the family's 1533-position model. The record is from RNAcentral.
AACAGGAUUAGAUACCCUGGUAGUCCACGCCGUAAACGAUGUCGACUUGGAGGUUGUGCCCUUGAGGCGUGGCUUCCGGAGCUAACGCGUUAAGUCGACCGCCUGGGGAGUACGGCCGCAAGGUUAAAACUCAAAUGAAUUGACGGGGGCCCGCACAAGCGGUGGAGCAUGUGGUUUAAUUCGAUGCAACGCGAAGAACCUUACCUGGUCUUGACAUCCACGGAAGUUUUCAGAGAUGAGAAUGUGCCUUCGGGAACCGUGAGACAGGUGCUGCAUGGCUGUCGUCAGCUCGUGUUGUGAAAUGUUGGGUUAAGUCCCGCAACGAGCGCAACCCUUAUCCUUUGUUGCCAGCGGUCUGGCCGGGAACUCAAAGGAGACUGCCAGUGAUAAACUGGAGGAAGGUGGGGAUGACGUCAAGUCAUCAUGGCCCUUACGACCAGGGCUACACACGUGCUACAAUGGCGCAUACAAAGAGAAGCGACCUCGCGAGAGCAAGCGGACCUCAUAAAGUGCGUCGUAGUCCGGAUUGGAGUCUGCAACUCGACUCCAUGAAGUCGGAAUCGCUAGUAAUCGUGGAUCAGAAUGCCACGGUGAAUACGUUCCCGGGCCUUGUACACACCGCCCGUCACACCAUGGGAGUGGGUUGCAAAAGAAGUAGGUAGCUUAACCUUCGGGAGGGCGCUUACCACUUUGUGAUUCAUGACUGGGGUGAAGUCGUAACAAGGUAACC